Molecule: ribosomal RNA, 512 nt
Filed under: uncultured bacterium
Lineage: Bacteria
Description: partial 16S ribosomal RNA
Rfam family: Bacterial small subunit ribosomal RNA
Source: RNAcentral
GAUGAACGCUGGCGGCGUGCCUAAUACAUGCAAGUCGAACGAAACUUCUUUAUCACCGAGUGCUUGCACUCACCGAUAAAGAGUUGAGUGGCGAACGGGUGAGUAACACGUGGGCAACCUGCCCAAAAGAGGGGGAUAACACUUGGAAACAGGUGCUAAUACCGCAUAACCAUCGUUACCACAUGGUAACUCUGUAAAAGGUGGCUAUACUACCGCUUUUGGAUGUGCCCGCGGCGCAUUAGCUAGAUGGUAGGGUAAAGGCUUACCAAGGCAAUGAUGCGUAGCCGAAUUGAGAGGUUGAUCGGCCACAUUGGGACUGAGACACGGCCCAAACUCCUACGGGAGGCAGCAGUAGGGAAUCUUCCACAAUGGGCGAAAGCCUGAUGGAGCAACGCCGCGUGGGUGAAGAAGGUCUUCGGAUCGUAAAACCCUGUUGUUAGAGAAGAAAGUGCGUGAGAGUAACUGUUCACGUUUCGACGGUACCUAACCAGAAAGCCACGGCUAACUACGUG